This 483-nucleotide ribosomal RNA is filed under the name Graphis implicata. RNAcentral's name for it is "eukaryotic LSU rRNA". It matches the Rfam family "Eukaryotic large subunit ribosomal RNA", at positions 143 to 642 of the family's 3401-position model. The record is from RNAcentral. Lineage: Eukaryota; Fungi; Ascomycota; Lecanoromycetes; Ostropales; Graphidaceae.
UUGUAAUUUGGAGAAGGUGCUUCGGGAGAGAUGAUGGUCCAAGUCCCUUGGAAUAGGGCGUCACAGAGGGUGAGAAUCCCGUAUGUGGCCNGUCAUCGAUUCCAUGUGAGGCCCUUUCGACGAGUCGAGUUGUUUGGGAAUGCAGCUCUAAAUGGGUGGUAAAUUUCAUCUAAAGCUAAAUACCUGCCAGAGACCGAUAGCGCACAAGUAGAGUGAUCGAAAGAUGAAAAGCACUUUGAAAAGAGAGUCAAACAGUACGUGAAAUUGUUGAAAGGGAAGCGUUUGCAAUCAGACUCGUUUGCAGAGGCUCAGCUUUCCUUCGGGAUUGUGUAUUCUUCUGUCAACGGGCCAGCAUCAGUUUCGGCGGCCGGAUAAAGGUUCUGGGAACGUAGCUCUCUUCGGAGAGUGUUAUAGCCCGGAGCGUAAUGCGGCAGCCGAGACUGAGGUCCGCGCUCUUGCUAGGAUGCUGGCAUAAUGGUUGUA